Molecule: ribosomal RNA, 253 nt
Filed under: uncultured bacterium
Lineage: Bacteria
Description: partial 16S ribosomal RNA
Rfam family: Bacterial small subunit ribosomal RNA
Source: RNAcentral
UACGGAGGAUCCAAGCGUUAUCCGGAAUCAUUGGGUUUAAAGGGUCCGUAGGCGGUCUAAUAAGUCAGUGGUGAAAGCCCAUCGCUCAACGAUGGAACGGCCAUUGAUACUGUUAGACUUGAAUUAUUGGGAAGUAACUAGAAUAUGUAGUGUAGCGGUGAAAUGCUUAAAUAUUACAUGGAAUACCAAUUGCGAAGGCAGGUUACUAUCAAUAUAUUGACGCUGAUGGACGAAAGCGUGGGGAGCGAACAGG